UGAGAGGAAGAGAUGGACAGGCGGCUCAGAUGAGAUCAGGGCCACGUUGGUUGACCAUGUGCUCAACCAUGGAUUAAGUAUGAGGGAGACUGGGCAUAGUUCAGCCCAACCUGAGCCGCUACAUGGUUGCAUCUAUCAUCCGUACAUCCAGAAAUGAGAACUGGUAUUUACCUACGAUCUACACUAGGCUCUUUAUAACUGAGAGACGGCCAGGUCAUGGUGGAAGACACCGGCUGUUCACACCAGAACAGCAGACUGCCAUUGUGAACAUGGUGGUGGCAAACAACACCAUUAGACUAUGAUAAAUCCAGAACCACAUAAUUGCAGACAAACACAAUAUUCAAUAACAUUCAGCAGGUGGGCUUGUCUACAUUGGACCGUGUAUUACAGCGCAACCGAAUCUGGAUGAAACGGGUCUACAGGGUGCCAUUUGAGCAAAAGUCGGAGGGUUAAAGAACAGCGCUAUGAACAUGUGCAAAGAGUCUUGGAGCUGGAUGCCACUGCAUCAGCAUUUUUAUAUUUACUUUGAGGCUUGCUUCAACCUAGCCAAAAAAAGGGGAAAAGGGGAUGGAACAUUAUUGGCCACCAUGCCAUUGUGAAUAUCCCUGGACAGCGUGGAGGGAAUUUCACCAUGUGCGCAGCCGUUGGCCAGCAAGGCGUCCUCCAUCGCCAAGCAAACCAUGGUCCCUACAACACCGCCUUUCUCAUCACAUUCCUGGACACACUACAUGGCAUCCUCAUUCUAGCCGAGCAGAGGGGUGGACCAGUGCAGCCCAGGUAUGUUGUCAUCUGGGACAAUGUGAGUUUCCACCGGGCUGCUCUGGUCCGCAACUGGUUCAUCGACCACCCACAAGUUAUUGUUCUAUACCUCCCAUCAUAUUCCCUAUUCCUAAACACAAUUGAAGAGUUUAUUUCCCGGCAUGGCGAUGGAAGGUGUAUGACCGACAUCCCCUCGCACGCACGCUUCUUCUCCAGGCAAUGGUGGAUGCAUGUGUUGAAGUUGAUGUGGGGACUUUCGGCGGCUGGAGCCGUCACUCCAGGAGAUUCCUUCCAAGCUGUUUAGCCAGGGAGAAACAUUGCUUGUGAUGUAAAUGAGGUGCUGUGGCCAGACCAAACUAGGAGGCAGGAUGCAGCCUAAUGUGUUUUUUACUUACAUUUUGCAUUUGUUUUUGUCUGUGUUUUGAAAGAAUGAGCCACUUUUUUAAAAUUAAUUUUUGUACAGAAAACACUAUCUUACUGAAUGUUUUCUCUUGUUAGGUAUGGAAAGUGUUAGAUACAAAACACAGCAUUUUGGAAAUGUUUUUGUUACUGUAUUGCAUUUGUGUGUUUAUGUAUAUUUGAGAAGAUUACUGUAAUCUUUUACAACUGGCUACAGUGUAACACUGAAAAGGCAUAAACCUACUGAUGGGAAAUUCAUAGUAGUGUUGUGUUGAGCACAUCAGUGUUGGUUGGUAGACAGAUCUAUUCAUAUGAUGCCUGUUUGUCAUUUUGCUGCAAAAAAAAAACACAUUAUAGAAAGAGAAUAGUUUUGAAUGCAGUGUUUAUUUUUGCUAGAGAUUCAUAGAGUUUUGGGGAAAUGGGCCAAAGAUUCAGCAAACGUGUGUAAACAAUUGUGGAACACUGUAAAUCUACUUAAGUAUCAAAAUGUCAAAUUCCUUAUAGCAAGCAAAUCCAGAUGGCUCCAUUUUCUUUUUUAUUUAAUGAAAGCUAGGGGCACACUUGGACAUAAUUUACCAACGACACAUGUGUGUUGCAUCAGUCCGCCAGAUCAGAGGCAAUAUGGAUGACCAGGGGUGUUCUCUUAAUAAGCGUGUGAAUUGGAC
Molecule: long non-coding RNA, 1823 nt
Organism: Oncorhynchus tshawytscha (Chinook salmon)
Lineage: Eukaryota; Metazoa; Chordata; Actinopteri; Salmoniformes; Salmonidae
Source: Ensembl